UGUUCGAAAGGGAAACAGCCCAGACCACCAGCUAAGGUCCCAAAAUAUAUGUUAAGUGGAAAAGGAUGUGGCGUUGCCCAGACAACUAGGAUGUUGGCUUAGAAGCAGCCAUCAUUUAAAGAGUGCGUAAUAGCUCACUAGUCGAGUGACACUGCGCCGAAAAUGUACCGGGGCUAAACAUAUUACCGAAGCUGUGGAUUGUCCUUUGGACAAUGGUAGGAGAGCGUUCUAAGGGCGUUGAAGCAUGAUCGUAAGGACAUGUGGAGCGCUUAGAAGUGAGAAUGCCGGUGUGAGUAGCGAAAGACGGGUGAGAAUCCCGUCCACCGAUUGACUAAGGUUUCCAGAGGAAGGCUCGUCCGCUCUGGGUUAGUCGGGUCCUAAGCUGAGGCCGACAGGCGUAGGCGAUGGAUAACAGGUUGAUAUUCCUGUACCACCUAUAAUCGUUUUAAUCGAUGGGGGGACGCAGUAGGAUAGGCGAAGCGUGCGAUUGGAUUGCACGUCUAAGCAGUAAGGCUGAGUAUUAGGCAAAUCCGGUACUCGUUAAGGCUGAGCUGUGAUGGGGAGAAGACAUUGUGUCUUCGAGUCGUUGAUUUCACACUGCCGAGAAAAGCCUCUAGAUAGAAAAUAGGUGCCCGUACCGCAAACCGACACAGGUAGUCAAGAUGAGAAUUCUAAGGUGAGCGAGCGAACUCUCGUUAAGGAACUCGGCAAAAUGACCCCGUAACUUCGGGAGAAGGGGUGCUCUUUAGGGUUAACGCCCAGAAGAGCCGCAGUGAAUAGGCCCAAGCGACUGUUUAUCAAAAACACAGGUCUCUGCUAAACCGUAAGGUGAUGUAUAGGGGCUGACGCCUGCCCGGUGCUGGAAGGUUAAGAGGAGUGGUUAGCUUCUGCGAAGCUACGAAUCGAAGCCCCAGUAAACGGCGGCCGUAACUAUAACGGUCCUAAGGUAGCGAAAUUCCUUGUCGGGUAAGUUCCGACCCGCACGAAAGGCGUAACGAUUUGGGCACUGUCUCAACGAGAGACUCGGUGAAAUCAUAGUACCUGUGAAGAUGCAGGUUACCCGCGACAGGACGGAAAGACCCCGUGGAGCUUUACUGUAGCCUGAUAUUGAAAUUCGGCACAGCUUGUACAGGAUAGGUAGGAGCCUUUGAAACGUGAGCGCUAGCUUACGUGGAGGCGCUGGUGGGAUACUACCCUAGCUGUGUUGGCUUUCUAACCCGCACCACUUAUCGUGGUGGGAGACAGUGUCAGGCGGGCAGUUUGACUGGGGCGGUCGCCUCCUAAAAGGUAACGGAGGCGCUCAAAGGUUCCCUCAGAAUGGUUGGAAAUCAUUCAUAGAGUGUAAAGGCAUAAGGGAGCUUGACUGCGAGACCUACAAGUCGAGCAGGGUCGAAAGACGGACUUAGUGAUCCGGUGGUUCCGCAUGGAAGGGCCAUCGCUCAACGGAUAAAAGCUACCCCGGGGAUAACAGGCUUAUCUCCCCCAAGAGUUCACAUCGACGGGGAGGUUUGGCACCUCGAUGUCGGCUCAUCGCAUCCUGGGGCUGUAGUCGGUCCCAAGGGUUGGGCUGUUCGCCCAUUAAAGCGGUACGCGAGCUGGGUUCAGAACGUCGUGAGACAGUUCGGUCCCUAUCCGUCGUGGGCGUAGGAAAUUUGAGAGGAGCUGUCCUUAGUACGAGAGGACCGGGAUGGACAUACCUCUGGUGUACCAGUUGUCGUGCCAACGGCAUAGCUGGGUAGCUAUGUGUGGACGGGAUAAGUGCUGAAAGCAUCUAAGCAUGAAGCCCCCCUCAAGAUGAGAUUUCCCAACUUCGGUUAUAAGAUCCCUCAAAGAUGAUGAGGUUAAUAGGUUCGAGGUGGAAGCAUGGUGACAUGUGGAGCUGACGAAUACUAAUCGAUCGAAGACUUAAUCAAAA
Molecule: ribosomal RNA, 1915 nt
Filed under: Staphylococcus aureus
Lineage: Bacteria; Bacillati; Bacillota; Bacilli; Caryophanales; Staphylococcaceae
Description: partial 23S ribosomal RNA
Rfam family: Bacterial large subunit ribosomal RNA
Source: RNAcentral